CAGCAGCCGCGGUAAUACCGGCGGCCCGAGUGGCGGUCACUAUUAUUGGGCUUAAAGCGUCCGUAGCCGGGUUGGGAAGUCCUCCGGGAAAUCUGGCCGCUUAACGGUCAGAAUGCCGGAGGAUACUCCCAGCCUAGGGAGCGGGAGAGGCCGAGGGUAUUCCCGGAGGAGGGGGGAAAUCCUAUAAUCCCGGGAGGACCACCUGUGGCGAAGGCGCUCGGCUGGAACGCGUCCGACGGUGAGGGACGAAGGCCAGGGGAGCAAACCGGAUUAGAUACCCGGGUAGUCCUGGCUGUAAACGAUGCGGACUUUGUGUCGGACAAGCUAUGAGCUUGUCCGGUGCCGGAGGGAAACCGUUAAGUCCGCCGCCUGGGGAGUACGGCCGCAAGGUUGAAACUUAAAGGAAUUGGCGGG
This 414-nucleotide ribosomal RNA is filed under the name uncultured microorganism. RNAcentral describes it as "bacterial SSU rRNA". It matches the Rfam family "Archaeal small subunit ribosomal RNA", at positions 459 to 872 of the family's 1478-position model. The record is from RNAcentral.